This 313-nucleotide unclassified non-coding RNA is filed under the name uncultured fungus. Its description in RNAcentral is "sequence contains ITS1, 5.8S rRNA gene". The stretch from base 265 to 313 matches the Rfam family "5.8S ribosomal RNA", at positions 1 to 49 of the family's 154-position model. The record is from RNAcentral. Lineage: Eukaryota; Fungi.
UUUCCGUAGGUGAACCUGCGGAAGGAUCAUUAUUGAAUAAACUUGGCGUGGUUGAGCUGACUCUCUCGGGAGUAUGUGCUCGCUCGUCAUCUUUAUCUUUCCACCUGUGCACUUUUUGUAGAUUUGGAUGUAACUUUCUGAGGCAACUCAGUUGGGAGGAAUGCUAUUUCGAUGGCUUUCCUUGUAUGUCCAAGUCUAUGUUUUCAUAUACUCCAAGUAUGUAACAGAAUGUAUCACUGGGCCUUGUGCCUAUAAACCUUAUACAACUUUCAGCAACGGAUCUCUUGGCUCUCGCAUCGAUGAAGAACGCAGC